RNAcentral lists this small RNA (131 nucleotides) under Pluralibacter gergoviae. Its description in RNAcentral is "RtT RNA". It matches the Rfam family "RtT RNA". From Rfam's summary of the family: This family represents a bacterial cis-regulatory element known as RtT RNA. The exact function of RtT is unknown although it is thought that it may be involved in changing the cellular response in relation to amino acid starvation. The record is from RNAcentral. Lineage: Bacteria; Pseudomonadati; Pseudomonadota; Gammaproteobacteria; Enterobacterales; Enterobacteriaceae.
UUUUUCUCCAACCGGGGAAGGAUGAGAAGCUUCGACCAAGGUUCGAUUCGAGCGCAGCGAGAAAGCGUUGCCGCAGGCAACGACCCGAAGGGCGAGGAGCAUAGCGACGAGUAAUCCUUCCCCCGCCACCA